Nicotiana attenuata is the source of this 439-nucleotide long non-coding RNA. RefSeq lists it as uncharacterized. The record is from RefSeq and is a predicted model, not a curated record. Lineage: Eukaryota; Viridiplantae; Streptophyta; Magnoliopsida; Solanales; Solanaceae. The transcript has 2 exons.
CUUCGUUCCACUUUUCACUUUCCUCUUUCUCUCUCUCAAUAGGAAUUCAAACCGAAAUGGUUUGAAUUCUCCGGCGAACCUUGCCGCUGACGUAUAUUCUUCUCUGUCGACUUUCGCUGCCGAUCGUCCCCAGGUACCUCCACCCAGGCGUACUAUCCUCGCGGAGGAAAGAUCUAGCAAAGACUUUGAGGUAUAUCUGCCACGUCCGCAGACCAGAAGUUUCUAUCUUAUUCCAGCUUUACUAUAUGACUUUCCUUCCUUUCGGUUGUAUAGACAUUCUGGAGUUAGAGCAGUGUAUUUUAUUUCUAUUAGCCUGUGUUUCCUGUGAGUUUCCGGAUUUUGGGAGUCUGUUUUGGAUUUCGUGAUAUGGGUUGUAUUAUGCCAAGUGGCACUUAUAUACAGUUUUCUUUUGACAGUAAAAUUUUCAGUUGUUUGCUUC